Molecule: ribosomal RNA, 510 nt
Filed under: uncultured bacterium
Lineage: Bacteria
Description: partial 16S ribosomal RNA
Rfam family: Bacterial small subunit ribosomal RNA
Source: RNAcentral
GACGAACGCUGGCGGCGUGCUUAACACAUGCCAGUCGAACGAAGAGCGACGGAAGCUUGCUUCUAUCAAUCUUAGUGGCGAACGGGUGAGUAACGCGUAAUCAACCUGCCCUUCAGAGGGGGACAACAGUUGGAAACGACUGCUAAUACCGCAUACGAUCUAACCUCGGCAUCGAGGAUAGAUGAAAGGUGGCCUCUACAUGUAAGCUAUCACUGAAGGAGGGGAUUGCGUCUGAUUAGCUAGUUGGAGGGGUAACGGCCCACCAAGGCGAUGAUCAGUAGCCGGUCUGAGAGGAUGAACGGCCACAUUGGGACUGAGACACGGCCCAGACUCCUGCGGGAGGCAGCAGUGGGGAAUCUUCCGCAAUGGAGGAAAGUCUGACGGAGCAACGCCGCGUGAGUGAUGACGGCCUUCGGGUUGUAAAGCUCGGUUAAUCGGGACGAAAGGCCUUCUUGCGAAUAGUGAGAAGGAUUGACGGUACCGGAAUAGAAAGCCACGGCUAACUACGUG